RNAcentral lists this ribosomal RNA (427 nucleotides) under uncultured bacterium. Its description in RNAcentral is "bacterial SSU rRNA". It matches the Rfam family "Bacterial small subunit ribosomal RNA", at positions 355 to 774 of the family's 1533-position model. The record is from RNAcentral.
UAGGGAAUAUUGGACAAUGGGGGCAACCCUGAUCCAGCCAUGCCGCGUGAGUGAAGAAGGCCCUCGGGUUGUAAAGCUCUUUUGUCCGGAAAGAAAAGCUUCGGGUUAAUACCCCGGGGUUCUGACGGUACCGGAAGAAUAAGCACCGGCUAACUUCGUGCCAGCAGCCGCGGUAAUACGAAGGGUGCAAGCGUUACUCGGAAUUACUGGGCGUAAAGCGUGCGUAGGUGGUUGUUUAAGUCUGAUGUGAAAGCCCUGGGCUCAAACUGGGAAUGGCAUUGGAAACUGGGCAGCUAGAGUGCGGUAGAGGGUAGUGGAAUUCCCGGUGUAGCAGUGAAAUGCGUAGAGAUCGGGAGGAACAUCUGUGGCGAAGGCGACUGCCUGGACCAGCACUGACACUGAGGCACGAAAGCGUGGGGAGCAAACA